RNAcentral lists this long non-coding RNA (230 nucleotides) under Microtus ochrogaster (prairie vole). Its description in RNAcentral is "WT1 antisense RNA conserved region 3 (ENSMOCG00000008824.1)". It matches the Rfam family "WT1 antisense RNA conserved region 3". The record is from RNAcentral. Lineage: Eukaryota; Metazoa; Chordata; Mammalia; Rodentia; Cricetidae.
AAAGAGAAGCCCGCGGGUCGCUGAGUGAAGUGGGUUUCAGGCAGACUCCGGGAGUUUGGAGGCAUCGGCAUGGCUUGGUCAGGGACUGCCAGGCGAGGGGCGGGAAGCGGCCGGCUGUACUUGGGCUCCCAGGGCUCCCAGAAUAGGGAUGAGGCUCGAAACUUUCCAACAAAACCUACUAAGCAGAACUCAAGGAUACUGACCACGAAUACGAAGAAACCUAGCGUUUC